AUGCAGUCUCAUUUGAUGAUAAGCAUCCAGCUUCUUGUUCUCUUUGCCAUCUGUCCUUCAAACCAGAUGUACGUGAUUUAUGAAAAGACUAUGUGGACUCAAUCCAGCUUUUCAUCUGCAGGCACUUGCCUAGAUAAAAUGAAUUGGCCAGCAGAGACCAAAAACACCUCCCAAGUACAGUUGUGCGCUACUUAUUUCAAUUACAGAUGUGAAGAAAGAGCGUUGGCGUCACAUAGAGAAGAAUUUUCGAAGCGAGAAGCCACAGCCUGCGCACAGCCAGCUCACAGUGAAGACAGAUUUUGUAGAGGCUCUCAGGCAUCUGCAUCCAUGUGGUAUUUCUACCCUCUUCAUCACCAGAAACAAUCCCCUCAACAGGCAGCUCUUCCCUAGAUCUGAUUCAGUAAGGUAGGUUUCAGUGUAAAACUAUACCAUACAAACUGGCAAAGAAGUUAGGAAAGAGGGAAGGAAAACAGAUUCCAGAAGUAUCAUUGAUAAAAAUGUACGUGUACAUUUAAUAUGUAA
Molecule: long non-coding RNA, 522 nt
Filed under: Struthio camelus australis
Lineage: Eukaryota; Metazoa; Chordata; Aves; Struthioniformes; Struthionidae
Description: lncRNA (ENSSCUG00000012475.1)
Source: RNAcentral